Molecule: ribosomal RNA, 569 nt
Filed under: Microbulbifer sp. N9mIS7
Lineage: Bacteria; Pseudomonadati; Pseudomonadota; Gammaproteobacteria; Cellvibrionales; Microbulbiferaceae
Description: bacterial SSU rRNA
Rfam family: Bacterial small subunit ribosomal RNA
Source: RNAcentral
GUCGAGCGCGAAAGUUCUUCGGAACGAGUAGAGCGGCGGACGGGUGAGUAACGCGUGGGAAAUUGCCCAGUAGUGGGGGACAACAUUCGGAAACGGAUGCUAAUACCGCAUACGCCCUACGGGGGAAAGCAGGGGAUCUUCGGACCUUGUGCUAUUGGAUAUGCCCGCGUCGGAUUAGCUAGUUGGUGAGGUAAUGGCUCACCAAGGCAACGAUCCGUAGCUGGUCUGAGAGGAUGAUCAGCCACACUGGGACUGAGACACGGCCCAGACUCCUACGGGAGGCAGCAGUGGGGAAUAUUGGACAAUGGGCGCAAGCCUGAUCCAGCCAUGCCGCGUGUGUGAAGAAGGCUCUAGGGUUGUAAAGCACUUUCAGUAGGGAGGAAGGCCUUAAAGUUAAUACCUUUGAGGAUUGACGUUACCUACAGAAGAAGCACCGGCUAACUCCGUGCCAGCAGCCGCGGUAAUACGGAGGGUGCGAGCGUUAAUCGGAAUUACUGGGCGUAAAGCGCGCGUAGGCGGUUAGUUAAGCUGGAUGUGAAAGCCCCGGGCUCAACCUGGGAACUGCAUUC